Molecule: ribosomal RNA, 416 nt
Filed under: Mandarina sp. A AD-2005
Lineage: Eukaryota; Metazoa; Mollusca; Gastropoda; Stylommatophora; Camaenidae
Description: partial 16S ribosomal RNA
Source: RNAcentral
AGCUUUUGAGCUAAAUAUAUUAUAAUAUUAGUUAUUUAUAUAAAGUGUUGUAUAACUUUAUUAAAAAAUAUGUUUAGGGGUGAUAGGCUAUUCAAAAACUAAGAUAUCUUGAAUCUAAUUAAAAGUAUCUAGUACAUUUUACACGACUAUUAAGUGAUUAGGCUUAAUAGAUAUAUUAACUUUUUUUAAUGAAUUUCUUAUUAUAAUUUAAUAUCUAAAUUUUUAAACAAAUAAUCAUACAAAUAUUUGAAUAUUAUAUUAAGUAAUUAGAUAAUUUUAAGUUUAAUUAUAUUUUCAAUAAUGUUAAUAUUAGUAUAUAUUUUUAUAUAUAUAUAAUGAACUCGGCAAAAAUGUAUUUCUCAACUGUUUAUCAAAAACAUAACUAUGUGCUAUAAUACAUAGCGGUUUCUGCUCAA